This 267-nucleotide ribosomal RNA is filed under the name uncultured Prevotella sp. RNAcentral's name for it is "partial 16S ribosomal RNA". It matches the Rfam family "Bacterial small subunit ribosomal RNA", at positions 525 to 791 of the family's 1533-position model. Lineage: Bacteria; Pseudomonadati; Bacteroidota; Bacteroidia; Bacteroidales; Prevotellaceae. The record is from RNAcentral.
ACGGAAGGUCCAGGCGUUAUCCGGAUUUAUUGGGUUUAAAGGGAGCGUAGGCUGGAGAUUAAGUGUGUUGUGAAAUGUAGACGCUCAACGUCUGAAUUGCAGCGCAUACUGGUUUCCUUGAGUACGCACAACGUUGGCGGAAUUCGUCGUGUAGCGGUGAAAUGCUUAGAUAUGACGAAGAACUCCGAUUGCGAAGGCAGCUGACGGGAGCGCAACUGACGCUUAAGCUCGAAGGUGCGGGUAUCAAACAGGAUUAGAUACCCCUGU